RNAcentral lists this ribosomal RNA (636 nucleotides) under uncultured fungus. Its description in RNAcentral is "eukaryotic LSU rRNA". It matches the Rfam family "Eukaryotic large subunit ribosomal RNA", at positions 24 to 664 of the family's 3401-position model. Lineage: Eukaryota; Fungi. The record is from RNAcentral.
CCCGCUGAACUUAAGCAUAUCAAUAAGCGGAGGAAAAGAAACUAACAAGGAUUCCCCUAGUAACUGCGAGUGAAGAGGGAUGAGCUCAAAUUUGUAAUCUGGCAGUAUCUCACUGUCCGAGUUGUAAAUUCAAGAAGUGUUAUCCGUGUUGGACCAUGCACAAGUCUCUUGGAAAAGAGCAUCAUAGAGGGUGACAAUCCCGUCUCUGGCAUGGACGCCCACCACAUUUGUGAUGCACUUUCAAUGAGUCGAGUUGUUUGGGAAUGCAGCUCUAAAUGGGUGGUAAAUUCCAUCUAAAGCUAAAUAUUGGCGAGAGACCGAUAGCGAACAAGUACCGUGAGGGAAAGAUGAAAAGAACUUUGAAAAGAGAGUUAAGCAGUACGUGAAAUUGUUGAAAGGGAAACGAUUGAAGUCAGUCUUGUGCUUCAGAAAUCAGCAGGACUCUGUCUUGUGCACUUUCUGUUCCCCAGGCCAGCAUCAAUUUCAACGGCUAGAGAAAAGCUUUGGAAAUGUGGCAUCUUCUAUGGUGUGUUAUAGUCCUUGGCUGUAUGUAGUCGUCGGGAUUGAGGCUUUCAGCUCUCGUAGCUGACAAGGAUGCUGGCGUAAUGGCUUUAAUCGACCCGUCUUGAAACACGG